GCCGCUAUGGUGAAAUUGGUAGACACGCUGCUCUUAGGAGGCAGUGCUCGCGCAUCUCGGUUCAAGUCCGAGUAGCGGCA
This 80-nucleotide transfer RNA is filed under the name Cuscuta pentagona. RNAcentral's name for it is "tRNA-Leu". It matches the Rfam family "tRNA". From Rfam's summary of the family: Transfer RNA (tRNA) molecules are approximately 80 nucleotides in length. Their secondary structure includes four short double-helical elements and three loops (D, anti-codon, and T loops). The record is from RNAcentral. RNAcentral also lists the same sequence under 3 other names. Lineage: Eukaryota; Viridiplantae; Streptophyta; Magnoliopsida; Solanales; Convolvulaceae.